This 301-nucleotide ribosomal RNA is filed under the name uncultured bacterium. Its description in RNAcentral is "partial 16S ribosomal RNA". It matches the Rfam family "Bacterial small subunit ribosomal RNA", at positions 509 to 807 of the family's 1533-position model. The record is from RNAcentral.
CAGCCGCCGCGGGAAUACGAAGGGGGCUAGCGUUGCUCGGAAUUACUGGGCGUAAAGGGAGCGUAGGCGGGUCGUUUAGUCAGAGGUGAAAUCCCGGGGCUCAACCUCGGAACUGCCUUUGAUACUGGCGACCUUGAGUAUGGGAGAGGUGAGUGGAACUCCGAGUGUAGAGGUGAAAUUCGUAGAUAUUCGGAAGAACACCAGUGGCGAAAGCGACUCACUGGCCCAUUACUGACGCUGAGGCUCGAAAGCGUGUGGAGCAAACAGGAUUAGAUACCCGUGUAGUCCCUGUCUCUUAUAC